RNAcentral lists this ribosomal RNA (506 nucleotides) under uncultured bacterium. Its description in RNAcentral is "partial 16S ribosomal RNA". It matches the Rfam family "Bacterial small subunit ribosomal RNA", at positions 29 to 523 of the family's 1533-position model. The record is from RNAcentral.
AUUGAACGCUGGCGGCAGGCCUAACACAUGCAAGUCGAACGGCAGCACAGAAGAGCUUGCUCUUUGGGUGGCGAGUGGCGGACGGGUGAGUAAUGUCUGGGAAGCUGCCCGAUGGAGGGGGAUAACUACUGGAAACGGUAGCUAAUACCGCAUAACGUCGCGAGACCAAAGUGGGGGACCUUCGGGCCUCACACCAUCGGAUGUGCCCAGGUGGGAUUAGCUAGUAGGUGGGGUAAUGGCUCACCUAGGCGGCGAUCCCUAGCUGGUCUGAGAGGAUGACCAGCCACACUGAAACUGAGACACGGUCCAGACUCCUACGGGAGGCAGCAGUGGGGAAUAUUGCACAAUGGGCGCAAGCCUGAUGCAGCCAUGCCGCGUGUAUGAAGAAGGCCUUCGGGUUGUAAAGUACUUUCAGCGGGGAGGAAGGCGGUGAGGUUAAUAACCUCGCCGAUUGACGUUACCCGCAGAAGAAGCACCGGCUAACUCCGUGCCAGCAGCCGCAGUAA